RNAcentral lists this long non-coding RNA (251 nucleotides) under Elaeis guineensis (African oil palm). Its description in RNAcentral is "long non-coding RNA (EGUI_LNC072154)". Lineage: Eukaryota; Viridiplantae; Streptophyta; Magnoliopsida; Arecales; Arecaceae. The record is from RNAcentral.
CUUGAAGUUCAACUAGGGCACAAAAUAUCUUGAUUUUUAUUCUAGUGGCAUCUUUGAUUGAACUUACUAACAAAGUUAUAGAUCAUUGGACUUUUAUGCUAUUGACACCUUAGAUCAAACUUACUAACAAAUUGUCCAAUUUUUGCACUAUUGACACCUUACACUACAAAAAUAGAGAAAUUGCCAACUUUUAUUUGCCGAUACUAGUUAAAAGCAUCAGCAAUUUUUAAAUAUUGUGCCCACCUGCCGAU